AUGCAGUCGAGCGGCAGCACGGGUACUUGUACCUGGUGGCGAGCGGCGGACGGGUGAGUAAUGCCUAGGAAUCUGCCUGGUAGUGGGGGAUAACGCUCGGAAACGGACGCUAAUACCGCAUACGUCCUACGGGAGAAAGCAGGGGACCUUCGGGCCUUGCGCUAUCAGAUGAGCCUAGGUCGGAUUAGCUAGUUGGUGAGGUAAUGGCUCACCAAGGCGACGAUCCGUAACUGGUCUGAGAGGAUGAUCAGUCACACUGGAACUGAGACACGGUCCAGACUCCUACGGGAGGCAGCAGUGGGGAAUAUUGGACAAUGGGCGAAAGCCUGAUCCAGCCAUGCCGCGUGUGUGAAGAAGGUCUUCGGAUUGUAAAGCACUUUAAGUUGGGAGGAAGGGCAGUUACCUAAUACGUGAUUGUUUUGACGUUACCGACAGAAUAAGCACCGGCUAACUCUGUGCCAGCAGCCGCGGUAAUACAGAGGGUGCAAGCGUUAAUCGGAAUUACUGGGCGUAAAGCGCGCGUAGGUGGUUUGUUAAGUUGAAUGUGAAAUCCCCGGGCUCAACCUGGGAACUGCAUCCAAAACUGGCAAGCUAGAGUAUGGUAGAAGGGUGGUGGGAAUUUCCUGUGGUAGCGGUGAAAUGCGUAGAAUAUAGGAAGGAACACCAGUGGCGAAGGCGACCACCUGGACUGAUACUGACACUUGAGGUGGCGAAAGCGUGGGGAGCAAACAGGAUUAGAUACCCUGGUAGUCCACGCCGUAACGAUGUCAACUAGCCGUUGGGAGCCUUGGAGCUCUUAGUGGCGCAGCUAACGCAUUAAGUUGACCGCCUGGGGAGUACGGGCCGCAAGGUUAAAACUCAAAUGAAUUGACGGGGGCCCGCACAAGCGGUGGAAGCUGUGGGUUAAUUCGAAGCAACGCGAAGAACCUUACCAGGCCUUGACUUCCAAUGAACUUUCCA
RNAcentral lists this ribosomal RNA (960 nucleotides) under Pseudomonas syringae. Its description in RNAcentral is "bacterial SSU rRNA". It matches the Rfam family "Bacterial small subunit ribosomal RNA", at positions 55 to 1002 of the family's 1533-position model. Lineage: Bacteria; Pseudomonadati; Pseudomonadota; Gammaproteobacteria; Pseudomonadales; Pseudomonadaceae. The record is from RNAcentral.